Patella vulgata (common limpet) is the source of this 550-nucleotide long non-coding RNA. RefSeq lists it as uncharacterized. The record is from RefSeq and is a predicted model, not a curated record. The transcript has 3 exons. Lineage: Eukaryota; Metazoa; Mollusca; Gastropoda; Patellidae.
UUGGUUGUAAAUUGUUAUCUAUUUUCCAUGCAAUUGGCUAUAAAUACGGCGAAUUCUUUUAAAUCAACUAACUUUUUGACAGACGAUCAUAUCUAUCAUCAUGAUGAAAACUAUAUUAGUUGCAUUUUGUGUUGUGAUCGUAGCGGCUUAUGCCGUAGAAGUUGACACGGAUUUUGUUAAAUCUGCUUUAGCCUUCAAGGAUCAAGUAAUGAACAGAGAUGUCAACGAAAACCUGGAGAAACGAGCAAUGUUGAACGUCUUUAAACGUAAAUGUUCAGAACUAAAUGGAGAGUGUAAUAUGUUCCGACCAUGCUGUAAUCCUAAGGCCGUUAAAUGUAGCAGUUUCUUAGGUGGUCAGUGUAUACGUCGUCCUCAACCGCGAGAUUAAUAAAUGGACAGAACUAUUGAAAAGAGGAAAAUUUUCAAGUUCUCUUACUUAUAAACAUAUUUCAACAACGUAGAUUAAAAGAAAUGAAAAAUAAACAGAUAUUUGUGUAUUUAUAUAGAUUAAAUGACCCUGAUUUAAUAAAAAUGUAUUGAAACAGUAAAA